This 1444-nucleotide ribosomal RNA is filed under the name uncultured organism. Its description in RNAcentral is "SSU rRNA". It matches the Rfam family "Bacterial small subunit ribosomal RNA". The record is from RNAcentral.
GCUCAGGACGAACGCUGGCGGCGUGCUUAACACAUGCAAGUCGAACGGAAAGGCCCUGCUUUUGUGGGGUGCUCGAGUGGCGAACGGGUGAGUAACACGUGAGUAACCUGCCCUUGACUUUGGGAUAACUUCAGGAAACUGGGGCUAAUACCGGAUAGGAGCUCCUGCUGCAUGGUGGGGGUUGGAAAGUUUCGGCGGUUGGGGAUGGACUCGCGGCUUAUCAGCUUGUUGGUGGGGUAGUGGCUUACCAAGGCUUUGACGGGUAGCCGGCCUGAGAGGGUGACCGGCCACAUUGGGACUGAGAUACGGCCCAGACUCCUACGGGAGGCAGCAGUGGGGAAUAUUGCACAAUGGGCGGAAGCCUAAUGCAGCAACGCCGCGUGCGGGAUGACGGCCUUCGGGUUGUAAACCGCUUUCGCCUGUGACGAAGCGUGAGUGACGGUAAUGGGUAAAGAAGCACCGGCUAACUACGUGCCAGCAGCCGCGGUGAUACGUAGGGUGCGAGCGUUGUCCGGAUUUAUUGGGCGUAAAGGGCUCGUAGGUGGUUGAUCGCGUCGGAAGUGUAAUCUUGGGGCUUAACCCUGAGCGUGCUUUCGAUACGGGUUGACUUGAGGAAGGUAGGGGAGAAUGGAAUUCCUGGUGGAGCGGUGGAAUGCCCAGAUAUCAGGAGGAACACCAGUGGCGAAGGCGGUUCUCUGGGCCUUUCCUGACGCUGAGGAGCGAAAGCGUGGGGAGCGAACAGGCUUAGAUACCCUGGUAGUCCACGCUGUAAACGGUGGGUACUAGGUGUGGGGUCCAUUCCACGGGUUCCGUGCCGUAGCUAACGCUUUAAGUACCCCGCCUGGGGAGUACGGCCGCAAGGCUAAAACUCAAAGGAAUUGACGGGGCCCCGCACAAGCGGCGGAGCAUGCGGAUUAAUUCGAUGCAACGCGUAGAACCUUACCUGGGUUUGACAUGGAUCGGGAGUGCUCAGAGAUGGGUGUGCCUCUUUUGGGGUCGGUUCACAGGUGGUGCAUGGCUGUCGUCAGCUCGUGUCGUGAGAUGUUGGGUUAAGUCCCGCAACGAGCGCAACCCUUGUUCACUGUUGCCAGCACGUUAUGGUGGGGACUCAGUGGAGACCGCCGGGGUCAACUCGGAGGAAGGUGGGGAUGACGUCAAGUCAUCAUGCCCCUCAUGUCCAGGGCUUCACGCAUGCUACAAUGGCUGGUACAGAGAGUGGCGAGCCUGUGAGGGUGAGCGAAUCUCGGAAAGCCGGUCUCAGUUCGGAUUGGGGUCUGCAACUCGACCUCAUGAAGUCGGAGUCGCUAGUAAUCGCAGAUCAGCAACGCUGCGGUGAAUACGUUCCCGGGGCUUGUACACACCGCCCGUCAAGUCAUGAAAGUUGGUAACACCCGAAGCCGGUGGCCUAACCGUUGUGGGGGAGCCGUCGAAGGUGGGACUGGUG